Prionailurus viverrinus (fishing cat) is the source of this 287-nucleotide long non-coding RNA. RefSeq lists it as uncharacterized. The transcript has 3 exons. Lineage: Eukaryota; Metazoa; Chordata; Mammalia; Carnivora; Felidae. The record is from RefSeq and is a predicted model, not a curated record.
GGAAUAGAGAGAUGGAGAGGGCAAGGCAAUUGAUAGUAUCUUUGAUGGUUCCACUCUUUCCAGCCCAAGAAGUCAGAUGUCAUGCUCCGUCGUGUGGCAUUUCAUGCGAUUUUGGAAGUGGAGGUGGGUGUGUGACACUGGAAGGCCAUGCAGGCCCACCACUUCAACUUGGACCCCAGACAGCAGAGCUGAGCUCCUUCAUAAAGGAAAAAGAAUGGAAGCACCAUGAAGUCUGAAAUUUUGUCUUGUUCACUCCUGCAUCCCCAGUGCGUGGCACAAAGUAGCCA